GACGAACGCUGGCGGCGUGCUUAACACAUGCAAGUCGAACGGAAAGGCCCUGCUUUUGUGGGGUGCUCGAGUGGCGAACGGGUGAGUAACACGUGAGUAACCUGCCCUUGACUUUGGGAUAACUUCAGGAAACUGGGGCUAAUACCGGAUAGGAGCUCCUGCUGCAUGGUGGGGGUUGGAAAGUUUCGGCGGUUGGGGAUGGACUCGCGGCCUAUCAGCUUGUUGGUGGGGUAGUGGCUUACCAAGGCUUUGACGGGUAGCCGGCCUGAGAGGGUGACCGGCCACAUUGGGACUGAGAUACGGCCCAGACUCCUACGGGAGGCAGCAGUGGGGAAUAUUGCACAAUGGGCGGAAGCCUGAUGCAGCAACGCCGUGUGCGGGAUGACGGCUUUCGGGUUGUAAACCGCUUUCGCCUGUGACGAAGCGUGAGUGACGGUAAUGGGUAAAGAAGCACCGGCUAACUACGUG
Molecule: ribosomal RNA, 468 nt
Filed under: uncultured bacterium
Lineage: Bacteria
Description: partial 16S ribosomal RNA
Rfam family: Bacterial small subunit ribosomal RNA
Source: RNAcentral